Molecule: ribosomal RNA, 420 nt
Filed under: bacterium
Lineage: Bacteria
Description: partial 16S ribosomal RNA
Rfam family: Bacterial small subunit ribosomal RNA
Source: RNAcentral
UGGGGGAUAUUGCACAAUGGGCGAAAGCCUGAUGCAGCGACGCCGCGUGGGGGAUGAAGGCUUUCGGGUUGUAAACCUCUUUCGCUAUCGAACAAGGACCGCUUAGGGUGGGUGGAGGGUAGGUGGAGAAGAAGCGCCGGCUAACUACGUGCCAGCAGCCGCGGUAAUACGAAGGGCGCGAGCGUUGUCCGGAAUUAUUGGUCGUAAAGGGCUUGUAGGCGGCUUGUUGCGCCUGCUGUGAAAACGCGGGGUUUAACUUCGCGCGUGCAGUGGGUACGGGCAGGCUUGAGUGUGGUAGUGGUGACUGGAAUUCCAGGUGUAGCGGUGGAAUGCGCAGAUAUCUGGAGGAACACCGAUGGCGAAGGCAGGUCACUGGGCCAUUACUGACGCUGAGGAGCGAAAGCAUGGGUAUCGAACAGG